RNAcentral lists this ribosomal RNA (399 nucleotides) under uncultured microorganism. RNAcentral describes it as "bacterial SSU rRNA". It matches the Rfam family "Archaeal small subunit ribosomal RNA", at positions 330 to 731 of the family's 1478-position model. The record is from RNAcentral.
GUGCAGCAGGCGCGAAACCUCCGCAAUACACGAAAGUGUGACGGGGCCAUCCCGAGUGCCGUCCGCUGAGGACGGCUUUUCCCCAGUGUACACAGCUGGGGGAAUAAGGAGAGGGCAAGCCUGGUGUCAGCCGCCGCGGUAAUACCAGCUCUCCGAGUGGUGGGGACGCUUAUUGGGCCUAAAACAUCCGUAGCCGGCUGGGCAAGUCCUCCGUUAAAUCCAACGAUUCAAUCGUUGGGCUGCGGGGGAUACUGUCCAGCUUGGGGGCGGGAGAGGCCGACGGUAUUCCCGGGGUAGGGGUGAAAUCCUAUAAUCCCGGGAGGACCACCAGUGGCGAAGGCUGUCGGCUAGAACGCGCCCGACGGUGAGGGAUGAAAGCUGGGGGAGCGAACCGGAUUA